Molecule: unclassified non-coding RNA, 289 nt
Filed under: Hevea brasiliensis (rubber tree)
Lineage: Eukaryota; Viridiplantae; Streptophyta; Magnoliopsida; Malpighiales; Euphorbiaceae
Source: RNAcentral
GCUGCCGUGGAGAAGGUUGGGCUUGCUGACAAGAUGAGUCACAUCUCAACUGGAGGUGGUGCCAGUUUAGAGCUUCUCGAGGGGAAAACACUUCCGGGAGUGCUUGCUCUUGAUGAUGCUUGAGCUGAGUUUUUCUCAUUUGCCUUUUUUUUUCUGCGAACUUUAGUUCUCGUAUAUAAGUUGGUUUCACAGCCAAAGCGGACUAGAAUGAUGGAAUAGAGCUCUGAUCUUAGCCUGUAGAUUGAGUAAAUAAAAGUUUUCUUUUUCCAUCAAAAGGCUUUGAAGCCAA